This 635-nucleotide ribosomal RNA is filed under the name uncultured Bacteroidales bacterium. RNAcentral describes it as "bacterial SSU rRNA". It matches the Rfam family "Bacterial small subunit ribosomal RNA", at positions 70 to 702 of the family's 1533-position model. Lineage: Bacteria; Pseudomonadati; Bacteroidota; Bacteroidia; Bacteroidales. The record is from RNAcentral.
CGGGGAGUAGCAAUACUUCGCCGGCGACCGGCGCACGGGUGAGUAACACGUGUGCAACCAACCCCGUACCGGGAGAUAACCCGCGGAAACGUGGACUAACAUCCCAUAACACUGUAUCAUCGCAUGGUGAUGCAUUUAAAAUUCCGGUGGUACGGGACGGGCACGCGCGACAUUAGGUAGUUGGCGGGGUAACGGCCCACCAAGCCGACGAUGUCUAGGGGUUCUGAGAGGAAGGUCCCCCACACUGGAACUGAGACACGGUCCAGACUCCUACGGGAGGCAGCAGUGAGGAAUAUUGGUCAAUGGGCGAGAGCCUGAACCAGCCGAGUCGCGUGAGGGAAGAAUGGUCUAUGGCCUGUAAACCUCUUUUGCCAGGGAAGAAUAAAUUGCACGCGUGCGAUCUUGCCAGUACCUGACGAAUAAGCAUCGGCUAACUCCGUGCCAGCAGCCGCGGUAAUACGGGGGAUGCGAGCGUUAUCCGGAUUUAUUGGGUUUAAAGGGCGCGUAGGCGGGACGCCAAGUCAGCGGUAAAAGACUGCAGCUAAACUGUAGCACGCCGUUGAAACUGGCGACGUCGAGACGAGACGAGGGAGGCGGAACAAGUGAAGUAGCGGUGAAAUGCUUAGAUAUCACUU